Molecule: small nucleolar RNA, 139 nt
Organism: Phragmites australis (common reed)
Lineage: Eukaryota; Viridiplantae; Streptophyta; Magnoliopsida; Poales; Poaceae
Product: small nucleolar RNA Z247
Exons: 1
Source: RefSeq, a predicted model, not a curated record
CUGCUUGGAGAUGAAGAGAUGGUAUCCUACAUCCUUACCGGCCUCUACAUCAAAUUCAAUCCACUUGUGUCGGCAAUUGUCGCACGUGUGGAACCGGUGACGGUGGCUGAACUGUACUCUAAACUUUAGAGGUUUGAGU